CCUACGGGUGGCAGCAGUCGAGAAUCAUUCACAAUGGGGGAAACCCUGAUGCUGCGACGCCGCGUGAGGGAAUGAAGGUCUUCGGAUUGUAAACCCCUGUCAUGUGGGAGCAAAUUAAAAAGAUAGUACCACAAGAGGAAGAGACGGCUAACUCUGUACCAGCGGCCGCGGUAAUACAGAGGGCUCAAGAGUUGUUCGGAAUCACUGGGCGUAAGGCGUGCGUAGGCAGUUUCGUAAGUGGGGUGUGAAAGGCGCGGGCUCAACCCGCGGACGGCACUUGAUACUGCGAGACUAGAGUAAAGGAGGGGGAACCGGAAUUCUCGGUGUAGCAGUGAAAUGCGUAGAUAUCGAGAGGAACACUCGUGGCGAAGGCGGGUUCCUGGACAUUAACUGACGCUGAGGCACGAAGGCCAGGGGAGCGAAAGGGAUUAGAUACCCUUGUAGUC
RNAcentral lists this ribosomal RNA (446 nucleotides) under uncultured bacterium. Its description in RNAcentral is "partial 16S ribosomal RNA". It matches the Rfam family "Bacterial small subunit ribosomal RNA", at positions 338 to 795 of the family's 1533-position model. The record is from RNAcentral.